UACGUAGGUGGCAAGCGUUGUUCGGAGUUACUGGGCGUAAAGGGUGUGUAGGCGGUUCUUUAAGUUUGGGGUGAAAUCUCCCGGCUCAACCGGGAGGGUGCGCCGAAUACUGAGGGACUUCGAGUGCGGGAGAGGAAAGUGGAAUUCCUGGUGUAGCGGUGAAAUGCGUAGAUAUCAGGAGGAACACCGGUGGUGUAGACGGCUUUCUGGACCGUAACUGACGCUGAGACACGAAAGCGUGGGUAGCAAACAGG
RNAcentral lists this ribosomal RNA (254 nucleotides) under uncultured bacterium. RNAcentral describes it as "partial 16S ribosomal RNA". It matches the Rfam family "Bacterial small subunit ribosomal RNA", at positions 524 to 776 of the family's 1533-position model. The record is from RNAcentral.